Non-coding RNA from Marasmius tenuissimus, 96 nucleotides. Lineage: Eukaryota; Fungi; Basidiomycota; Agaricomycetes; Agaricales; Marasmiaceae. The record is from the annotation of a GenBank genome assembly.
UCCCUGGUAGUAUAUCGGUUAUUAGUACACGCGCCUGUCAUACAGAUGGCGCAGGAAUAUACGCGCGAAAGCUGGGUUCGACUCCCAGCCAGGGAG